GGAGGUAGUGACAAUAAAUCACAAUGCGGGACUAUCAGUCUUGCAAUUGGAUUGAGAACAAUGUACAACUCUUAUCGAUAAGCCAUUGGAGGGCAAGUCUGGUGCCAGCAGCCGCGGUAAUUCCAGCUCCAAUAGCGUAUAUUAACGUUGUUGCAGUUAAAAAGCUCGUAGUUGAAGUGUGGGUGGUGCCUACUUCCAGACUUCGGUUUAGGAGUGGAUCACUACCCCCUUCCAGUAUCCAGUAGUGGGUAUUCAGUUACUUACUAUUGUGUGUUGGUCGUUUACUGUGAGAAAAUUAGAGUGUUCAAAGCAGGCGUUUGCUUGAAUAGAUUAGCAUGGAAUAAUAAUUGAAGGCUUUCGUGUUCGAUUUGAUUGGUUUGUUCAUGGAAGCAAGGUUAAAAGGAACAGUUGGGGGUAUUCAUAUUCACUAGUUAGAGGUGAAAUUCUCGGAUUUAUGGAAGAUGAACAAGUGCGAAAGCA
This 480-nucleotide ribosomal RNA is filed under the name Blastocystis sp. Its description in RNAcentral is "SSU rRNA". It matches the Rfam family "Eukaryotic small subunit ribosomal RNA", at positions 460 to 953 of the family's 1831-position model. The record is from RNAcentral. Lineage: Eukaryota; Bigyra; Opalinata; Blastocystidae.